This is a microRNA precursor of Gallus gallus (chicken), 87 nucleotides long. Lineage: Eukaryota; Metazoa; Chordata; Aves; Galliformes; Phasianidae. The record is from Ensembl.
UCUGUGAUCAGGCAGGAGAUGAUGAUCUGGUGGCAGUUACGGAGACGUGGUGGGACAGCUCACAUGGCUGGAAUGUGGUCAUGGAUG